GACGAACGCUGGCGGCGGGCCUAACACAUGCAAGUCGAACGGAAAGGCCCUGCUUGUGUGGGGUUCUCGAGUGGCGAACGGGUGUGUAACACGGGAGUAACCUGGGCUGGACUGUGGGAUAACUUCAGGAAACUGGUACUAAUACCGGAGUGGUGCGCCUGCUGGAUGGUGGGGGUUGGAACGUUUAGGCGGUGGUGGAUGGAUGCGCGGGUUAACAGCUGGUUGGGGGGGUAGUCGCCUACCAAGGGAUUGACGGGUCGCCGGCAUGAGAGGGUGACCGGCGUCAAGGGGACUGCGAUACGGCGCAGACUCCUAUGGGAGGCAGCAGUCGGGAAUAUUGCACAAUGGGCGGAAGCGUGAUGAGGAAAUGCUCGGAGCGGGAAGACGGCCUUCGGGUUGUAAACCGCAUUAGGCUGUGACGAAGCGUGAGUGACGGUAAUGGGUAAAGAGGCACCGGCUAACUACGUG
This 468-nucleotide ribosomal RNA is filed under the name uncultured bacterium. Its description in RNAcentral is "partial 16S ribosomal RNA". It matches the Rfam family "Bacterial small subunit ribosomal RNA", at positions 28 to 507 of the family's 1533-position model. The record is from RNAcentral.